RNAcentral lists this ribosomal RNA (484 nucleotides) under uncultured bacterium. Its description in RNAcentral is "partial 16S ribosomal RNA". It matches the Rfam family "Bacterial small subunit ribosomal RNA", at positions 30 to 507 of the family's 1533-position model. The record is from RNAcentral.
AUUGAACGCUGGCGGCAGGCCUAACACAUGCAAGUCGAGCGGAUGAAGGGAGCUUGCUCCUGGUUUCAGCGGCGGACGGGUGAGUAAUGCCUAGGAAUCUGCCUGGUAGUGGGGGAUAACGUCUGGAAACGGGCGCUAAUAACGCCUACGACCUGAGGGAGAAAGUGGGGGAUCUUCGGACAUCACGCUAUCAGAUGAGCCUAGGUCGGAUUAGCUAGUUGGUGGGGUAAAGGCCUACCAAGCCGACGAUCCGUAACUGGUCGGAGAGGAUGAUCAGUCACACUGGAACGGAGACACGGUCCAGGCGCCUACGGGAGGGAGCAGUGGCGAAUGUUGGACAGUGGGCGGAAGCCUUAUCCAGCCAUGCCGCGUGUGAGAAGAAGGUCUUCGGAUUGUAAAGCACUUUAAGUUGGGAGGAAGGGCAGUAAGUUAAUACCUUGCUGUUUUGACGUUACCAACAGAAGAAGCACCGGCUAACUUCGUG